CUCUCCCCUCCUAGGAGCUGGCUCGAACUGGAUGAAAGUGUGAGCCUUGCAGUCAUCAACUUCCAAAAUCGAAGCCAUAUUUCCACAGCGAUAGCAAUAAUUAGGUGCACUAAAAAUGGUAACCACCUUUUGUUCCUGCACCCAGAAAACAAAUGAAAUGUCUUAAAGACUAAACUUACUGUCCUGAAAACAUAAUCCAGAAGGACAUUCAUGAACUGCAAGAAUGAUAAAUACAUGUGCCCAAUUAAAUCCAUCCA
This 257-nucleotide unclassified non-coding RNA is filed under the name Hevea brasiliensis (rubber tree). The record is from RNAcentral. Lineage: Eukaryota; Viridiplantae; Streptophyta; Magnoliopsida; Malpighiales; Euphorbiaceae.